RNAcentral lists this transfer RNA (62 nucleotides) under Proasellus hercegovinensis. Its description in RNAcentral is "transfert RNA-W(TGA)". The record is from RNAcentral. Lineage: Eukaryota; Metazoa; Arthropoda; Malacostraca; Isopoda; Asellidae.
AGAAUUUUAAGUUAACCAAACUAUCGGCCUUCAAAGCUGAAAAUAAUAUAAGUUAUAUUCUA